AACAGAGCUCCCACUCUGGAAGAUUCGGCCCUGAGCAAAAGGCACUUGGAAUCUACAUGAGGGGCUCAGAUAUCCAUGUGAAACCUGGAAGAAAAACCCGGAGUCAGGCGACGUGAGAUGCAGCCAGUUCUGACACCGAAAAGCCACAGGACCUAAUGAAUACCUUUCUUUGGCCAGAGAUGCCAUGAUGUCCCCCAUCAUUGGUUUAAAAACGUAAUAGGAUCUCAUAAACAGAUCCUAUUUGCUGUCCUUUGAUAUAAGGAUCGAGGAAGAAAGGGCCCAGGACUAACCUUUUGCCAACAUGGCGGUGAGUGUAUCUCUGUUAUUUUCAAAUUUGCUGUCAAAAUGCUAUACUAAAACUUUCGAAAGAGACAAACAGAUGUCCUACAGUGUAGGGUGUUGUGUGUUGUGGCUUCAGUUGGAGAAAUCAUAUGACUCACUUAUAUAAACUCAUUAAAAUAUUUUCUUUCUUUCA
Pteropus alecto (black flying fox) is the source of this 475-nucleotide long non-coding RNA. RefSeq lists it as uncharacterized. Lineage: Eukaryota; Metazoa; Chordata; Mammalia; Chiroptera; Pteropodidae. The record is from RefSeq and is a predicted model, not a curated record. The transcript is spliced from 2 exons.